Molecule: long non-coding RNA, 204 nt
Filed under: Elaeis guineensis (African oil palm)
Lineage: Eukaryota; Viridiplantae; Streptophyta; Magnoliopsida; Arecales; Arecaceae
Description: long non-coding RNA (EGUI_LNC046955)
Source: RNAcentral
GGUUUGGGAUCGGUGGUAUGAUAUUUCUACACCUUUUUUUUCCUCUCUUAGAGGAUCAACGACUUGUAAAUGAAACUCCCACUACAUACACCAGCUCCUUCUAGUGCUGAUGGUCUUUUUCAAACGUCUACAGCAAUCCUAUUAAAUCAUGGUAGUUCACUACAGGCUUGGUCAUUCUAUAAUGACUCAAGAGGGAUAGGUAGG